This 75-nucleotide transfer RNA is filed under the name Gordonia phage Yvonnetastic. It matches the Rfam family "tRNA". From Rfam's summary of the family: Transfer RNA (tRNA) molecules are approximately 80 nucleotides in length. Their secondary structure includes four short double-helical elements and three loops (D, anti-codon, and T loops). Further hydrogen bonds mediate the characteristic L-shaped molecular structure. tRNAs have two regions of fundamental functional importance: the anti-codon, which is responsible for specific mRNA codon recognition, and the 3' end, to which the tRNAs corresponding amino acid is attached (by aminoacyl-tRNA synthetases). tRNAs cope with the degeneracy of the genetic code in two manners: having more than one tRNA (with a specific anti-codon) for a particular amino acid; and 'wobble' base-pairing, i.e. permitting non-standard base-pairing at the 3rd anti-codon position. Lineage: Duplodnaviria; Heunggongvirae; Uroviricota; Caudoviricetes. The record is from Rfam by way of RNAcentral.
UCCGGAGUAGCUUAAUUGGCAGAGCUCCAGGUUGUUACCCUGAUGUAGAUAUAGGUUCAAGUCCUAUCUCCGGAG